RNAcentral lists this ribosomal RNA (526 nucleotides) under uncultured bacterium. Its description in RNAcentral is "bacterial SSU rRNA". It matches the Rfam family "Bacterial small subunit ribosomal RNA", at positions 984 to 1509 of the family's 1533-position model. The record is from RNAcentral.
ACAUCCAGAGAAUUUAGCAGAGAUGCUUUAGUGCCUUCGGGAACUCUGAGACAGGUGCUGCAUGGCUGUCGUCAGCUCGUGUUGUGAAAUGUUGGGUUAAGUCCCGCAACGAGCGCAACCCUUAUCCUUUGUUGCCAGCACGUAAUGGUGGGAACUCAAAGGAGACUGCCGGUGAUAAACCGGAGGAAGGUGGGGAUGACGUCAAGUCAUCAUGGCCCUUACGAGUAGGGCUACACACGUGCUACAAUGGCGCAUACAAAGAGAAGCGACCUCGCGAGAGCAAGCGGACCUCAUAAAGUGCGUCGUAGUCCGGAUUGGAGUCUGCAACUCGACUCCAUGAAGUCGGAAUCGCUAGUAAUCGUAAAUCAGAAUGUUACGGUGAAUACGUUCCCGGGCCUUGUACACACCGCCCGUCACACCAUGGGCGUGGGUUGCAAAAGAAGUAGAUAGCUUAACCUUCGGGAGGGCGUUUACCACUUUGUGAUUCAUGACUGGGGUGAAGUCGUAACAAGGUAAGCGUAGUGCU